CGUCUAUAUACGUAUAGCAUAUCAAUAAGCGGAGGAAAAGAAACUAACAAGGAUUCCCUUAGUAACGGCGAGUGAAGCGGGAAGAGCUCAAAUUUGAAAUCUUCAAGGUUCUACCUUGACGAAUUGUAGUUUAUAGAAGUGUUUUCUGUUAGUGGAGUGGCAAAAGUUCUUUGGAAUAGGACAUCAUAGAGGGUGAGAAUCCUGUAUUUGGUCAUUCCUCCUAGCGUUGUGAUACACUUUCAACGAGUCGGAUUGUUUGGGAAUGCAGUCCAAAAUGGGUGGUAAAUUUCAUCUAAAGCUAAAUAUUGGCGAGAGACCGAUAGCGAACAAGUACCGUGAGGGAAAGAUGAAAAGAACUUUGAAAAGAGAGUUAAACAGUACGUGAAAUUGUCAAAAGGGAAGCGUUUGACACCAGUGUUGUUUUUCCGAAAAUCAAUUACGAAUGUUUUAGUUUUUGAGGAGUUAUGACUUCAUCGGCUUGCUCCUUUCUUUAUGAAACUUUCUUAAUGCACUUUUCGGUUAACAAGUCAACAUCAAUUUCUUUUGUUGUAAAAGGGUAUGAGGAAGGUGGCUUUCUUUUCGGAGAAAGUGUUUAUAGCCUUGUGCCUCUGCAAUCGGAGAGAUUGAGGUCUGCAGCGUAGAUCCUUCGGGGUUAGAUACAGUUUGUGCUAAGUUAUAGCUUGUCAUAGACAACUUGUUGACUAUGUUCAGUCAUUGUAGCUUACUCGCUAGAUGCUAUUUUACCUACGCUUAGGAUGUUGAUAUGCAUGACUGAUAU
Molecule: ribosomal RNA, 778 nt
Filed under: uncultured Neocallimastigales
Lineage: Eukaryota; Fungi; Neocallimastigomycota; Neocallimastigomycetes; Neocallimastigales
Description: partial large subunit ribosomal RNA
Rfam family: Eukaryotic large subunit ribosomal RNA
Source: RNAcentral